Potamilus streckersoni is the source of this 70-nucleotide non-coding RNA. Lineage: Eukaryota; Metazoa; Mollusca; Bivalvia; Unionida; Unionidae. The record is from the annotation of a GenBank genome assembly.
UGGUGGCCUAAUUGGUUAAAGUAUCCGCCUCCAAUGCAGGAGGUCGCGGGUUCGAACCCUGACGGAUCAU